This 194-nucleotide ribosomal RNA is filed under the name Prymnesium parvum. RNAcentral describes it as "partial Bacterial large subunit ribosomal RNA". It matches the Rfam family "Bacterial large subunit ribosomal RNA", at positions 323 to 516 of the family's 2925-position model. Lineage: Eukaryota; Haptophyta; Prymnesiales; Prymnesiaceae. The record is from RNAcentral.
AACAUGUUAGACGAAUCAUCUGGAAAGAUGAAUCAAAGAAGGUAAUAAUCCUGUAGUCGAAAACAUAUUCUCUCUUGAGUGGAUCCUGAGUACGACGGAGCACGUGAAAUUCCGUCGGAAUCUGGGAGGACCAUCUCCUAAGGCUAAAUACUCUCUAGUGACCGAUAGUGAACCAGUACCGUGAGGGAAAGGUG